AUUGAACGCUGGUGGCAGGCCUAACACAUGCAAGUCGAGCGGAUGAAGGGAGCUUGCUCCUGGAUUCAGCGGCGGACGGGUGAGUAAUGCCUAGGAAUCUGCCUGGUAGUGGGGGAUAACGUCCGGAAACGGGCGCUAAUACCGCAUACGUCCUGAGGGAGAAAGUGGGGGAUCUUCGGACCUCACGCUAUCAGAUGAGCCUAGGUCGGAUUAGCUAGUUGGUGGGGUAAAGGCCUACCAAGGCGACGAUCCGUAACUGGUCUGAGAGGAUGAUCAGUCACACUGGAACUGAGACACGGUCCAGACUCCUACGGGAGGCAGCAGUGGGGAAUAUUGGACAAUGGGCGAAAGCCUGAUCCAGCCAUGCCGCGUGUGUGAAGAAGGUCUUCGGAUUGUAAAGCACUUUAAGUUGGGAGGAAGGGCAGUAAGUUAAUACCUUGCUGUUUUGACGUUACCAACAGAAUGAGCACCGGCUAACUUCGUG
RNAcentral lists this ribosomal RNA (484 nucleotides) under uncultured bacterium. RNAcentral describes it as "partial 16S ribosomal RNA". It matches the Rfam family "Bacterial small subunit ribosomal RNA", at positions 30 to 507 of the family's 1533-position model. The record is from RNAcentral.